Molecule: ribosomal RNA, 362 nt
Filed under: Mytilus sp. CHLF1
Lineage: Eukaryota; Metazoa; Mollusca; Bivalvia; Mytilida; Mytilidae
Description: partial 16S ribosomal RNA
Rfam family: Bacterial large subunit ribosomal RNA
Source: RNAcentral
UGAGCGUCCUAAGGUAGCGCGAUAAUUUGCUUUUCAAUUGAAGGAUGGUAUGAAAGGGUUAACGAAGAAGGUGCUGUGUCUAAAAAUUCAAUUUAAACUAACUUUAAGGUGAAGAGGCCUUUAUGUAAAAGAAGGACGACAAGACCCUAUGAAGCUUUAUCUUAAUUGGAGCUCUCAGGCUCUUAUACGAUUUUGAUGGGAGAUCAGUAGAAAUAAGUCUUCUACUAUCAUAUUAAUCUUACUAGUAUUUCCUAACUUUAUAUGUGUGGUUAGCUACUCUAGGGAUAACAGCGCAAUUUCUCCCGAAAGAUGGUAUUGGAGGGGAAGAUUGCGACCUCGAUGUUGGCUUUAGAUAUCCUAGA